RNAcentral lists this ribosomal RNA (386 nucleotides) under uncultured methanogenic archaeon. Its description in RNAcentral is "bacterial SSU rRNA". It matches the Rfam family "Archaeal small subunit ribosomal RNA", at positions 474 to 859 of the family's 1478-position model. The record is from RNAcentral. Lineage: Archaea; Methanobacteriati; Methanobacteriota.
CACCGGCAGCUCUAGUGGUAGCAGUUUUUAUUGGGCCUAAAGCGUCCGUAGCCGGUUUAAUAAGUCUCUGGUGAAAUCCUGUAGCUUAACUGUGGGAAUAGCUGGAGAUACUAUUAGACUUGAGACCGGGAGAGGUUAGAGGUACUCCCAGGGUAGAGGUGAAAUUCUGUAAUCCUGGGAGGACCGCCUGUUGCGAAGGCGUCUAACUGGAACGGUUCUGACGGUGAGGGACGAAAGUUAGGGGCGCGAACCGGAUUAGAUACCCGGGUAGUCCUAACUGUAAACGAUGCGGACUUGGUGUUGGGGUGGCUUUGAGCUGCUCCAGUGCCGAAGGGAAGCUGUUAAGUCCGCCGCCUGGGAAGUACGGUCGCAAGACUGAAACUUAA